GCUCAGAACGUACGCUGGCGGCACGCCUAACACAUGCAAGUCGAACGAAGUAGCAAUACUUAGUGGCAGACGGGUGAGUAACAUGUGGGUAUCUGCCCUUUGGCCUGGAAUAACACGAGGAAACUUGUGCUAAUACCGGAUAAGUCUUUACGGAGAAAGCUUUAUGCACCAUUGGAUGAGCCCGCACUUGAUUAGUUUGUUGGUGGGGUAAUGGCCUACCAAGACUGUGAUCAAUAGCUGAUUUGAGAGGAUGAUCAGCCACAUUGGGACUGAGACACGGCCCAAACUCCUACGGGAGGCAGCAGUGGGGAAUCUUGCACAAUGGAGGAAACUCUGAUGCAGCGAUGCCGCGUGAGUGAAGAAGGCCCUUGGGUUGUAAAGCUCUUUCGUCGGGGAAGAAAAUGACUGUACCCGAAUAAGAAGGUCCGGCUAACUUCGUGCCAGCAGCCGCGGUAAUACGAAGGGACCUAGCGUAGUUCGGAAUUACUGGGCUUAAAGAGUUCGUAGGUGGUUGAAAAAGUUAGUGGUGAAAUCCCAGAGCUUAACUCUGGAACUGCCAUUAAAACUUUUCAGCUAGAGUAUGAUAGAGGAAAGCAGAAUUUCUAGUGUAGAGGUGAAAUUCGUAGAUAUUAGAAAGAAUACCAAUUGCGAAGGCAGCUUUCUGGAUCAUUACUGACACUGAGGAACGAAAGCAUGGGUAGCGAAGAGGAUUAGAUACCCUCGUAGUCCAUGCCGUAAACGAUGUGUGUUAGACGUUGGAAAUUUAUUUUCAGUGUCGCAGCGAAAGCGAUAAACACACCGCCUGGGGAGUACGACCGCAAGGUUAAAACUCAAAUGAAUUGACGGGGACCCGCACAAAGUAGUGGAGCAUGUGGUUUAAUUCGAAGAUACGCGCAGAACCUUACCAACACUUGACAUGUUCGUCGCAACUCUAAGAGAUUAGAGUUUUCGGUUCGGCCGGACGAAACACAGGUGCUGCAUGGCUGUCGUCAGCUCGUGUCGUGAGAUGUUGGGUUAAGUCCCGCAACGAGCGCAACCCUCACUUUUAGUUGCCAUCAUUAAGUUGGGCACUCUGAAAGAACUGCCAGUGAUAAGCUGGAGGAAGGUGGGGAUGACGUCAAGUCCUCAUGGCCCUUACGUGUUGGGCUACACACGUGCUACAAUGGUAUCUACAACAGGAAGCAAGACUGCGAGGUCAAGCAAAUCCUUAAAAGAUACCUCAGUUCGGAUUGCACUCUGCAACUCGAGUGCAUGAAGCUGGAAUUACUAGUAAUCGUGGAUCAGCGUGCCACGGUGAAUGCGUUCCCGGGUCUUGUACACACCGCCCGUCACACCAUGGGAGUUGGUUCUACCUUAAGGCAAGGUUUCAAACCCUUGACCACGGUAUAGUCAGCGACUGGGGUGAAGUCAUAACAAGGUAACCG
RNAcentral lists this ribosomal RNA (1424 nucleotides) under uncultured bacterium. Its description in RNAcentral is "bacterial SSU rRNA". It matches the Rfam family "Bacterial small subunit ribosomal RNA". The record is from RNAcentral.